CUCAAUGAUUUCAACCACAU
Molecule: small nuclear RNA, 20 nt
Filed under: Arabidopsis thaliana (thale cress)
Lineage: Eukaryota; Viridiplantae; Streptophyta; Magnoliopsida; Brassicales; Brassicaceae
Description: snRNA_14359
Source: RNAcentral